GGAGAAAUUAUCCUUGGUGUGUUGGCUCUUUUGGAUGAAUCAUACAAGGAUAAUUUCUUUUU
Molecule: microRNA precursor, 62 nt
Filed under: Mus musculus (house mouse)
Lineage: Eukaryota; Metazoa; Chordata; Mammalia; Rodentia; Muridae
Source: RNAcentral